AUCGCUUCUCGGCCUUUUGGCUAAGAUCAAAGUGUAGUAUCUGUUCUUAUCAGCUUAAUAUCUGAUACGUCUCCCUAAUGGAGACAUCGAUAUUAAACUGAUUUUAGAAUGGGAUGAGGUGCCACGGAGCUUGCUCCGCCCUCAUCACGGGUUGACCCGGUAUUGCAGUACCUCCGGGAACGGCCCACCACUC
This 193-nucleotide small nuclear RNA is filed under the name Haliotis rubra (blacklip abalone). RNAcentral's name for it is "U2 spliceosomal RNA". It matches the Rfam family "U2 spliceosomal RNA". From Rfam's summary of the family: U2 is a small nuclear RNA (snRNA) component of the spliceosome (involved in pre-mRNA splicing). Lineage: Eukaryota; Metazoa; Mollusca; Gastropoda; Lepetellida; Haliotidae. The record is from RNAcentral.